UUAAGCGACUAAGCGUACACGGUGGAUGCCCUGGCAGUCAGAGGCGAUGAAGGACGUGCUAAUCUGCGAUAAGCGUCGGUAAGGUGAUAUGAACCGUUAUAACCGGCGAUUUCCGAAUGGGGAAACCCAGUGUGUUUCGACACACUAUCAUUAACUGAAUCCAUAGGUUAAUGAGGCGAACCGGGGGAACUGAAACAUCUAAGUACCCCGAGGAAAAGAAAUCAACCGAGAUUCCCCCAGUAGCGGCGAGCGAACGGGGAGCAGCCCAGAGCCUGAAUCAGUGUGUGUGUUAGUGGAAGCGUCUGGAAAGGCGCGCGAUACAGGGUGACAGCCCCGUACACAAAAAUGCACAUAUUGUGAGCUCGAUGAGUAGGGCGGGACACGUGGUAUCCUGUCUGAAUAUGGGGGGACCAUCCUCCAAGGCUAAAUACUCCUGACUGACCGAUAGUGAACCAGUACCGUGAGGGAAAGGCGAAAAGAACCCCGGCGAGGGGAGUGAAAAAGAACCUGAAACCGUGUACGUACAAGCAGUGGGAGCACGCUUAGGCGUGUGACUGCGUACCUUUUGUAUAAUGGGUCAGCGACUUAUAUUCUGUAGCAAGGUUAACCGAAUAGGGGAGCCGAAGGGAAACCGAGUCUUAACUGGGCGUUAAGUUGCAGGGUAUAGACCCGAAACCCGGUGAUCUAGCCAUGGGCAGGUUGAAGGUUGGGUAACACUAACUGGAGGACCGAACCGACUAAUGUUGAAAAAUUAGCGGAUGACUUGUGGCUGGGGGUGAAAGGCCAAUCAAACCGGGAGAUAGCUGGUUCUCCCCGAAAGCUAUUUAGGUAGCGCCUCGUGAAUUCAUCUCCGGGGGUAGAGCACUGUUUCGGCAAGGGGGUCAUCCCGACUUACCAACCCGAUGCAAACUGCGAAUACCGGAGAAUGUUAUCACGGGAGACACACGGCGGGUGCUAACGUCCGUCGUGAAGAGGGAAACAACCCAGACCGCCAGCUAAGGUCCCAAAGUCAUGGUUAAGUGGGAAACGAUGUGGGAAGGCCCAGACAGCCAGGAUGUUGGCUUAGAAGCAGCCAUCAUUUAAAGAAAGCGUAAUAGCUCACUGGUCGAGUCGGCCUGCGCGGAAGAUGUAACGGGGCUAAACCAUGCACCGAAGCUGCGGCAGCGACGCUUAUGCGUUGUUGGGUAGGGGAGCGUUCUGUAAGCCUGUGAAGGUGUGCUGUGAGGCAUGCUGGAGGUAUCAGAAGUGCGAAUGCUGACAUAAGUAACGAUAAAGCGGGUGAAAAGCCCGCUCGCCGGAAGACCAAGGGUUCCUGUCCAACGUUAAUCGGGGCAGGGUGAGUCGACCCCUAAGGCGAGGCCGAAAGGCGUAGUCGAUGGGAAACAGGUUAAUAUUCCUGUACUUGGUGUUACUGCGAAGGGGGGACGGAGAAGGCUAUGUUGGCCGGGCGACGGUUGUCCCGGUUUAAGCGUGUAGGCUGGUUUUCCAGGCAAAUCCGGAAAAUCAAGGCUGAGGCGUGAUGACGAGGCACUACGGUGCUGAAGCAACAAAUGCCCUGCUUCCAGGAAAAGCCUCUAAGCAUCAGGUAACAUCAAAUCGUACCCCAAACCGACACAGGUGGUCAGGUAGAGAAUACCAAGGCGCUUGAGAGAACUCGGGUGAAGGAACUAGGCAAAAUGGUGCCGUAACUUCGGGAGAAGGCACGCUGAUAUGUAGGUGAAGUCCCUCGCGGAUGGAGCUGAAAUCAGUCGAAGAUACCAGCUGGCUGCAACUGUUUAUUAAAAACACAGCACUGUGCAAACACGAAAGUGGACGUAUACGGUGUGACGCCUGCCCGGUGCCGGAAGGUUAAUUGAUGGGGUCAGCGCAAGCGAAGCUCUUGAUCGAAGCCCCGGUAAACGGCGGCCGUAACUAUAACGGUCCUAAGGUAGCGAAAUUCCUUGUCGGGUAAGUUCCGACCUGCACGAAUGGCGUAAUGAUGGCCAGGCUGUCUCCACCCGAGACUCAGUGAAAUUGAACUCGCUGUGAAGAUGCAGUGUACCCGCGGCAAGACGGAAAGACCCCGUGAACCUUUACUAUAGCUUGACACUGAACAUUGAGCCUUGAUGUGUAGGAUAGGUGGGAGGCUUAGAAGUGUGGACGCCAGUCUGCAUGGAGCCGACCUUGAAAUACCACCCUUUAAUGUUUGAUGUUCUAACGUUGACCCGUAAUCCGGGUUGCGGACAGUGUCUGGUGGGUAGUUUGACUGGGGCGGUCUCCUCCUAAAGAGUAACGGAGGAGCACGAAGGUUGGCUAAUCCUGGUCGGACAUCAGGAGGUUAGUGCAAUGGCAUAAGCCAGCUUGACUGCGAGCGUGACGGCGCGAGCAGGUGCGAAAGCAGGUCAUAGUGAUCCGGUGGUUCUGAAUGGAAGGGCCAUCGCUCAACGGAUAAAAGGUACUCCGGGGAUAACAGGCUGAUACCGCCCAAGAGUUCAUAUCGACGGCGGUGUUUGGCACCUCGAUGUCGGCUCAUCACAUCCUGGGGCUGAAGUAGGUCCCAAGGGUAUGGCUGUUCGCCAUUUAAAGUGGUACGCGAGCUGGGUUUAGAACGUCGUGAGACAGUUCGGUCCCUAUCUGCCGUGGGCGCUGGAGAACUGAGGGGGGCUGCUCCUAGUACGAGAGGACCGGAGUGGACGCAUCACUGGUGUUCGGGUUGUCAUGCCAAUGGCACUGCCCGGUAGCUAAAUGCGGAAGAGAUAAGUGCUGAAAGCAUCUAAGCACGAAACUUGCCCCGAGAUGAGUUCUCCCUGACUCCUUGAGAGUCCUGAAGGAACGUUGAAGACGACGACGUUGAUAGGCCGGGUGUGUAAGCGCAGCGAUGCGUUGAGCUAACCGGUACUAAUGAACCGUGAGGCUUAACCU
This 2901-nucleotide ribosomal RNA is filed under the name Escherichia coli. RNAcentral describes it as "bacterial LSU rRNA". It matches the Rfam family "Bacterial large subunit ribosomal RNA". The record is from RNAcentral. Lineage: Bacteria; Pseudomonadati; Pseudomonadota; Gammaproteobacteria; Enterobacterales; Enterobacteriaceae.